UUGAAUUUCCCUCUCACUGCUAAUUAACCCUAACCCGCUGCAACUUGUCGAUCCCUCCCAUAAACUUAAGCGUGGCCUCUUUUCCCUCUUUCGUUCGUUCUCACCAAUUUCUUUCUGUCAAGCAUGCGUUGCCUAGGUCAGAAAUACCAUGAAAAUAGCCCAACCACAACGUCCCAAUAGCCCAGCAAUUUAACUUUGUUUUGCUAUGCCAAAAACAGAGCAACCCAGUCCAACGUUAAAGUUGCUGGGAAGUGCAAGGAAGAUGAUUGUCAUUGGGUGAGUGGCAGAGUCACAAGGUUCCGAUAUUCUGAAAGCUACCCAAUCCAACAUUAAAGUUGCUGGGAAGUGCAAGGAAGAUGAUUGUCAUUGGGCGAGUGGCAAAGUCACAAGGUUCCAAUAUUCUGCAAGCUACCCAGUCCAACGUUAAAGCUGUUGGGAAGUGCAAGGAAGAUGAUUGUUAGUGGGCGAGUGGCAGUCACAAGGUUCUGAUAUUCUGCAGCAACUAGAUAUAUAUAUAUAUAUAUUUUUGUUAUAUUUCUGCAGCAACUAUUCGAAAUAUUUAUUUGUUUGAUUCAAGGUACUGAUAUUCAUGUAAAGUGUUGAUUUUAAUUCAUUAUUAAUGUUGGACACCAAUAA
This is a long non-coding RNA of Carya illinoinensis, 636 nucleotides long. RefSeq lists it as uncharacterized. Lineage: Eukaryota; Viridiplantae; Streptophyta; Magnoliopsida; Fagales; Juglandaceae. The transcript is spliced from 4 exons. The record is from RefSeq and is a predicted model, not a curated record.